AACGAACGCUGGCGGCAGGCCUAACACAUGCAAGUCGAGCGGGCAUCCUUCGGGAUGUUAGCGGCGGACGGGUGAGUAACGCGUGGGAACGUGCCCUUUGCUACGGAAUAGCCUCGGGAAGCUGAGAGUAAUACCGUAUGUGCCCUUCGGGGAAAGAUUUAUCGGCAAAGGAUCGGCCCGCGUUGGAUUAGGUAGUUGGUAGGGUAAUGGCCUACCAAGCCGACGAUCCAUAGCUGGUUUGAGAGGAUGAUCAGCCACACUGGGACUGAGACACGGCCCAGACUCCUACGGGAGGCAGCAGUGGGGAAUCUUAGACAAUGGGGGAAACCCUGAUCUAGCCAUGCCGCGUGAGCGAUGAAGGCCUUAGGGUUGUAAAGCUCUUUCAGUGGGGAAGAUAAUGAUGGUACCCACAGAAGAAGCCCCGGCUAACUCCGUG
This 436-nucleotide ribosomal RNA is filed under the name uncultured bacterium. Its description in RNAcentral is "bacterial SSU rRNA". It matches the Rfam family "Bacterial small subunit ribosomal RNA", at positions 29 to 507 of the family's 1533-position model. The record is from RNAcentral.